Molecule: long non-coding RNA, 2053 nt
Filed under: Fukomys damarensis (Damara mole-rat)
Lineage: Eukaryota; Metazoa; Chordata; Mammalia; Rodentia; Bathyergidae
Description: lncRNA (ENSFDAG00000024388.1)
Source: RNAcentral
GCGGCUGCGCUGACCGGACAAUGGCCGCUCCUCCCCCUCCCCUCCGCGCGCACCCCUCCCGAGGAGUCGCGAUGGUCUCGCCCGGGGAAGCCGCCGCCAAAGCCCAGCAGCUGAUCAGCUGGGAUCCGGGCGUGCCACUUUGUUCCGCGCGUCUGAGUCCGGGGCCGUGGGUGACGCCGAAAGCGUCGAGCGACGAGCUUCCGAGGCCUUCGUGAUGUAGGAACUUUCAAAAUCUGAGGCAAACUCACCUUUCCCUGUCAAAGGCAGGGGAGCCGGUUUCUGAGUACUCUGGGGCGCGUCCCCCCUCCUCGCGGAGCGAAUGGUACGCCCCAAGCGAGCGGGGGAGGAGCAGUUUAGUUGUUUAGGGUAAAUUGGACCCGGCCCAGAACAGCGGCGCAUGCGCCCGGAGACCCCACUACCGGCUGCGGGAGGCCCUCGAGGGAUCCUCGCCAAACCCUGGUCACAUUUCAAUUGUGCAUUAGCUGUGGAUUCAUUAACAUUAUGUCUUUGGCCUCUAAACUACAGCAAGAACCACAUUCAACUUAGUAUCUUUCUAAAAAUGCUGUUGAUAGUGGAGAAAAUGUUUGCAAAACCCAAGAUACUUAAAAGCCAGAGCAUCCCCGAAACGCGAGUGCCGGCUUAUGUGUAAUAUUUAGUUUCAAUCUUGUGAACAUUCGCAAGUCUUCAAUAAAUAUUUCUAACAAAAGGGCAUAGGAUGAAUGAAGCCGUACAUCACUCUCAUUGGAUUCUUAUUGCCCUUAAAUCUUAAACUGAUUUUUGUAAAUGUGCACCUAUAUAAGAAAUUUACAGCCUCUGAAUUUAACAAAGUGAGAUUAAGUGGGACUCUAUUGGCAUCUAACUGAUUUCCUUUUAUGUAUGGAAAAGAAAUCUCUGAAACCAAAAGGAAAAUGUAAUGUAAAAGUGAUACCAUGAGCCGGGGAUUUAGCUCAGUGGUUUCCACCACCUGCCUCACAAGCGCAAGGACCAGAGUUUGAUCCCCAGUACCAAAAAAAAAUAAAAAUAAAAUAAAUUAUAUAUCACAACUGCUUGCCUGCCUGUUUGCCAGUUAUUUUAUUUAGUGCCCAUGAUGUACAGGCAUUUCCUAAAACUCUGAAGACUAUUAGGAUUAAUCACAUUCAUUCACUAGCCAAGUCCAAACCCUACAUAUAAGAAGUUAGGUGAUUUGUCUUCAGUCUUCCUCCGGCUUCAUUUACUGCUCUCCUCCAUUCAAGCUGCAAAUCAGCCACUAUUUGCCAUUUCUCAAAUUCUUGCUUUUUUACAUCUCCAUUUCUCUGUCCCUCCUAUUCCCCUCUUCCCCGAGUGCCCUCCCUCCGUCCCUCCCUGCCUGUCACUCUCCUUUCCUCUCUCCCUCUCUUCCUCCCAGUCCCUCUCUUUCUUUCUCCCUCCUCCCCUCUCCAUCUUUAUCCCUUUCCGUCUGUUUCUAUCUGUCUUUUUUUUUCACUACUGGAGAAUAAACCCUAGGCCUUUGUACUGAGCUGGAGAAUAAACCCUAGGCCUUUGUACUNNNNNNNNNNNNNNNNNNNNNNNNNNNNNNNNNNNNNNNNNNNNNNNNNNNNNNNNNNNNNNNNNNNNNNNNNNNNNNNNNNNNNNNNNNCCUUUUUUUUUUUUUUUUUAAAGAUUCUUGUUAAAUUGCCCUGGCUGGGCUCAAACUUCCAAUCCUCCUGCCUCAGCUUCCCAGCUCCAUACUAGAUUUUCUAAGAUUAGUUCUUCCAUACAGCAGCCAUGGACUGAGUUUGCUCUGAUCUCAGUCCUUUUGGAGCUAGGUUUUCUGACAAGAAACAAACAUGUAAGUUUCCUGGUUGGUCCUAUAAAGGUGAGUGUGGAUAGAGGAAGGAGAGACAAGCUCUGCUGUGGAGUUUGGAAGGCACUGAAGAGGUAACGCCCCUGAAGCAUGCUGGGAAAAAGAGAUGAAGGAGGCAACCCAUUCAGGACCCCUCCCAUCUCAAGAGUUACCCCUAUUCCUUGUUCCCUAUUCCUGUUCCCCAAUAAAUUUUCUUUCUCUUAACCUCUGUUCUUUAGAAUUUAUUUGUUG